Molecule: ribosomal RNA, 2094 nt
Filed under: Triticum aestivum (bread wheat)
Lineage: Eukaryota; Viridiplantae; Streptophyta; Magnoliopsida; Poales; Poaceae
Description: partial small subunit ribosomal RNA
Source: RNAcentral
AUGGCGCAUGUAGCCGGUUUGCUCGCCUCGGCUGUGGUCUCAGCGGUGGGCAAUAAGCUGGGUUCCGCCAUUGGGGAUGAGGUCACGAUGCUGUGCAACUUCAAGGACGACCUCAAGGACAUGAAGGACACAUUGCAGUACAUGGAGGCGGCGCUCAAGGAUGCUGAGAGGCGGUCUGUCAUGGAGGAGUUGGUGCGGCUGUGGCUCAACCAGCUCAAGAACGCUGCCUACGACAUCUCUUACAUGCUCGAUGAGUUCCAAGUUAACAGUGAACCAGCCUCCAGAAAGAUGAUUGGGAAGCUGGACUGUUUUGCUAUUGCACCCAAGAUUACCAUGGCUUAUAAGAUGAAGAAGAUGAGAGGUCAGCUGAGGAAGAUCAAAGAGGAUCAUGAGAGUUUCAAAUUCACACAUGAUAACUCGAGCCUAAUUAAUGUGCAUCAGCUUCCCGAUCCACGGGAAACAACGUCACAUGUCAUUGAAUCACUCAUCAUAGGGAGAGACAAAGACAGGAUGAAUGUCCUUUCUUUGUUAUCCAAAAACAACAACAACAAAGAAGAUAUCACAGUUCUUCCUAUUUGUGGGCUUGGAGGCAUAGGAAAGACAACUUUGGCACAACUGGUCUUCAAUGAUGCUCAGUUCAAAGAUUAUGAUCAUCGGGUAUGGGUCUAUGUAUCCCAGGUGUUUGACUUGAAAAAAGUAGGGAACUCCAUAAUUUCUCAAGUACUGGGGAAAGGAAGCCAGAAUCUAGAUACAAGGCAGUUGAUAGACCAACACCUUAAAGAUCUGCUUCGAGAUAAAAAAACUUUAAUUGUUUUAGAUGACCUAUGGGAGACAGAUUACUUCCAACUGGAUCAACUCAAGCUUAUUGUGAAUGUAAGCUCCAAGAUGAAAGUCCUAGUUACAACACGCAGCAUAGACAUUGCAAGAAAAAAUUGUACUGUUGAACCAUACAUGUUAGAUCUCUUGGACAAUGACAUGUGCUGGAGAAUAAUCAAGCAAAAUAGUGGCUUUGAAUCUAGAGCUGAUAAAGAGCAAGUUAAACCAAUUGGACAGAAGAUUGCAAAGAAAUGUGGAGGUUUGCCAUUAGCAGCUCAAGCACUUGGAUUCUUGCUAUUUGGAAUGGAUCUUAGUGACGGGAAAGCAAUGUCUAAUAGUGAUAUUUGGGAUGAACCGUUUUCUGAUAGUACAGUGUUACCAUCCUUGAAGUUAAGUUACAAUACUUUGCCACCAUAUUUGAGGUUAUGCUUUGCCUAUUGUGGCAUCUUUCCUAAAGGUCACAAUAUAAGUAAAGAUGAUCUUAUCCAUCAAUGGAUUGCUCUGGGUUUCAUCGAGCCAUCUAAUAACUUUUCGGCCAGACAACUUGGCGAGAAGUAUGUUACACAAUUCCUGGGGAUGUCUUUCCUUCAUCAUUCAAAAUUUGCUGAGAAAUUUGGAAAAACAAUGUUCACCAUGCACGAUCUAGUUCAUGAUCUCGCAAGAUCAGUCAUUACCGAAGAGUUGGUUGUCUUUGAUGCUGAAAUAGUGAGCGAUGCUACAAAAAAAGAAUACCGCAUCUAUGCAUCUCUCGCAAAUUGCAAUAUUUCAGAUUACAGCAAGGUGAGGAAGGCGUCAACUAUUUUCCGACCCAAGUUAAGGGCGAUGCAUUUUUCGGAUUGUGAAUUCCAUGGCGGUGCAUUUUCAUUUCCAAAGUGCUUGCGAGUCUUGGAUCUAUCUGGAUGCUCCAUCACAGAGUUUCCAAGCGCUCAAGGACAACUGAAGCAACUGGAGGUUCUUAUUGCUCCAAAGCUACAAGAUCAUCAAUUUCCCGAUAGCAUCACUCAGCUCUCCAAAUUACAUUACCUGAACCUCAAUGGAUCACGUGAAAUAUCAGCAAUACCAAGCUUGGUUAGCAAACUUGUGAGACUGGCGCAUCUUAACUUAUCUUAUUGUACUAGUGUCAAAGUCAUACCAGAGACUCUGGGAAGCCUAAAAAACAUUCAAACACUAGACCUCUCAUGGUGUGAGAAACUCGAGUCCAUUCCAGAGAGCCUUGGAAACCUGCAAAACCUUCAAAUACUAGACCUCUCGUGCUGCUUUGAACUAAAGUGCCUUUGA